This 657-nucleotide ribosomal RNA is filed under the name Triticum aestivum (bread wheat). RNAcentral describes it as "partial small subunit ribosomal RNA". The record is from RNAcentral. Lineage: Eukaryota; Viridiplantae; Streptophyta; Magnoliopsida; Poales; Poaceae.
AUGCUACGGACACGAAUAUCAUUUCGACGUAGCGUGGCGCCUGAAGGCCACGACUUACAGUAUGCUGAUGCUAGAGCGGAUGCGUCUGGGUGCAAAAAUUACCAAGGCGAGGAUGUUGCGGCUAUCACGUCCCCGUCAGAAAGUAUCCGAGGCGUCCUAGAAACAGGAGUGCUCGGUCUCCCAGAGUGCCAAGUUGAAAGGAUUACCCCUGGAUGCGCACGUGCGCACAACCGGAACUGGGAAGGAGGCCGGCCGAAGAGAAUUGGCAGCAGGCCAGUUGAAGCCAACCCAGGGAUGCUCGUAGGCUGUAGCAGCCCAGCUCACGUUGGAGCUGGAGGUUCAACUCCACGUGCUUGUCUUGUGAGCACAGGAGCCACACGUGGUGCACUUGGGGAUGGAUUAGCAAUUUUGUACGCAGGAGAUGUUUCUUUGGUACCUGUGUCACCUUUGACAGUACUGGAGGAGAGGACAACAUCACCUACACCUAUGCAUCUCGUACUGGAGUUACACCCGUAUCUCGAGAAAAAAAUUCGGAUGCUUCACCCUGUAAAGGAGAAAAUGAGUGGGCGACGGUGUCUAGUAAACGCCGAGGAACCGGCGGAUUUUGAGGACGCGAAUAGAAAUGAGUGUUGGCGUCAUGCUAUGGAAAAGAGUUGA